CCUACGGGGCGCACCAGUAAGGAAUAUUGGUCAAUGGACGCAAGUCUGAACCAGCUAUGCCGCGUGGAGGAUGAAGGCCCUCUGGGUUGUAAACUUCUUUUAUAGGGGACGAAAAAGGGACUUUCUAGUCCAGCUGACGGUACCCUAGGAAUAAGCACCGGCUAACUCCGUGCCAGCAGCCGCGGUAAUACGGAGGGUGCAAGCGUUAUCCGGAUUCACUGGGUUUAAAGGGUGCGUAGGUGGGUUAGUAAGUCAGUGGUGAAAUCUUCGAGCUUAACUCGGAAACUGCCAUUGAUACUAUUAGUCUUGAAUAUUGUGGAGGUUAGCGGAAUGUGUCAUGUAGCGGUGAAAUGCUUAGAUAUGACAUAGAACACCAAUUGCGAAGGCAGCUGGCUACACAUAUAUUGACACUGAGGCACGAAAGCGUGGGGAUCAAACAGGAUUAGAUACCCGUGUAGUC
Molecule: ribosomal RNA, 460 nt
Filed under: uncultured bacterium
Lineage: Bacteria
Description: bacterial SSU rRNA
Rfam family: Bacterial small subunit ribosomal RNA
Source: RNAcentral